UUCUUCAGGGCAGGGUGAAAUUCCCGACCGGCGGUAAAGUCCGCGAGCGCAGUUAUGCGCAUGAUCCGGUGCAACUCCGGAACCGACAGUACAGUCUGGAUGGUAGAAGAA
Molecule: non-coding RNA, 111 nt
Filed under: uncultured Faecousia sp.
Lineage: Bacteria; Bacillati; Bacillota; Clostridia; Eubacteriales; Oscillospiraceae
Description: FMN riboswitch (RFN element)
Rfam family: FMN riboswitch aptamer (RFN element)
About the family: The RFN element is a highly conserved domain that is found frequently in the 5'-untranslated regions of prokaryotic mRNAs that encode for flavin mononucleotide (FMN) biosynthesis and transport proteins.
Source: RNAcentral